This 255-nucleotide ribosomal RNA is filed under the name Halomonas llamarensis. RNAcentral describes it as "partial 23S ribosomal RNA". It matches the Rfam family "Bacterial large subunit ribosomal RNA", at positions 2581 to 2831 of the family's 2925-position model. Lineage: Bacteria; Pseudomonadati; Pseudomonadota; Gammaproteobacteria; Oceanospirillales; Halomonadaceae. The record is from RNAcentral.
UCGCCAUUUAAAGUGGUACGCGAGCUGGGUUUAGAACGUCGUGAGACAGUUCGGUCCCUAUCUGCCGUGGGCGUAGGAUGUUUGAGAAGGGCUGCUCCUAGUACGAGAGGACCGGAGUGGACGCACCGCUGGUGUUCCGGUUGUCACGCCAGUGGCAUUGCCGGGUAGCUAAGUGCGGACGGGAUAACCGCUGAAAGCAUCUAAGCGGGAAGCCCCCUUCAAGAUGAGACAUCCCUGAGGCCAUGAGCCUCCUAA